RNAcentral lists this transfer RNA (85 nucleotides) under Prolixibacter bellariivorans. Its description in RNAcentral is "tRNA-Leu". It matches the Rfam family "tRNA". From Rfam's summary of the family: Transfer RNA (tRNA) molecules are approximately 80 nucleotides in length. Their secondary structure includes four short double-helical elements and three loops (D, anti-codon, and T loops). Lineage: Bacteria; Pseudomonadati; Bacteroidota; Bacteroidia; Marinilabiliales; Prolixibacteraceae. The record is from RNAcentral.
GCCCAGGUGGUGAAAUCGGUAGACACGCUAGUUUCAGGGACUAGUGAUCGCAAGGUCGUGAAGGUUCGAGUCCUUUCCUGGGCAC